GACACAGGGAGACACAGAGAGACACAGGGAGACACCGAGAGACAACGGGAGACACAGGGAGACAACGGGGGACAUCCGCACGUUCAGUGGGCGAUGGUGCUCAACGUUCCCAGGUGAGGGGCCACGCGCCUCGCCAGAGUCGGCAUCGCCUCGAGCCCCCCACCGCUGAGCCCCCCACCACUGAGCCCCCCACCACUGAGCCGCCCCCACCUUUACGGGGCCGCCGCUCCUGCCAAAGUCAUUGUGGCCGGGUCGACGAUCGAGACGACGACGAUGAAGACGACGACGAGGAGGAGGAGGAGGAGGAGUUGACGCGGACCAAAACCGAAUAUUGGAGCUCAUCAGGACCGGCAGCCUGGAUAGCGUCAUGUCGAUGAGAAUAUGAAGAUGGGAAGUGAAGCAUCCGGACUGCCGCCCCCAUCUCUCGCCCCCCCCUCCUCCACCGCCCACCACCCCUCCCAUGCAUCUGUGAUCUCAGCUGCCACGGCGGCCGUGAAGACUCCCGCAUCACGCAGCACUCGACUACUUUCCAUCGAACUCCUCCUCCUCCGCUACUUCCACACUCCCAGGGCAGGAACGAGACUUCACCACUGAAGCCAUCAGCAGCAGCCAGCAGCAGUCAGCAGCACCACCACCGGCGUGCGCCCCGUGUCGUCUUAACAGACGCUUGGGGCAAGUGCUGAUCGCGAUCCAGCCUAUGAAGCGGUUGGCUGGCCACCAUCACGCCCGCCCGCCUUUGUAUCUCCAGUGGCGGUGUUUACACACAGCACCAGAAGCACCUUGGGCUAUCGCAAAUGAUAGGUCAGCGAAGUGGCUUAUCGCAUGGAAGCUUAUAGCAGACAAAUUAAUAGCAACCAAAAACUCUAAACGCGUGACGUUGAUUCUAAACGUGGAGGGGAAAGCCAGGAGGACCCGGAGAGAAAUCCACGCGACCACGGGGAGAGAGAGACACCGCAAACUCCAAAUAUACAGCAACAGCAGGCGUCAGGGUCGGGAUUGAACCCACGGCCUCCUGCAUAACCAGGCGAGGUAGUUAACAUCUCCUAGCCACGUAACAAUGUAAUGACCCACGUUUGUAUUAAGAACACGCCUCCUUCACGUAUCUGCCUGUCCACCACCACCACGAACAUCAUCGUCGAGACGCAGGGCCAUGGCGUGCUGUUGCUGUUGGACGGCAGCCUCGACAGUGAACGUCCAGGCCAACAGCGCCUCUCCACAAUAAUAAUAAUAACAAUAAUAAUAAACAAAUAUAUACUGUGUAAAUGUGUGUGUGUGUGUACUGCACAUGUAUUUCUCGCACAACCUAUCGGCCCCAACGGCACUCUGUGAGUGCAUGCUCUCAGCAGAAUUGAUUAUGCACGAGCAAGUGAGAGGACAGGCGAGAGGGGGAGUAGGAGGCACCUGAGAGCAUCGGAGUAAGGGCAGGUGAGAGGAAAGGUGAGAGGGUAGAUGAGAGGGCAGCUUAGGGGGCAGGUGAUAGAGUGCAUGAGAGAGCAGGUGAGAGGGCAGGUGAGAGGGCACGUUAGCAGACAGGUGAGAUGACAGGUGAGAGGGUAGAUGAUGAGAGGGCAGGUUAGCGGACAGGUGAGAUGACAGGUGAGAGGGUAGAUGAUGAGAGGGCAGGUUAGCGGACAGGUGAGAUGACAGGUGAGAGGGUAGAUGAUGAGAGGGCACGUUAGUGGACAGGUGAGAUGACAGGUGAGAGGGUAGAUGAUGAGAGGGCACGUUAGCGGACAGGUGAGAUGACAGGUGAGAGGGUAGAUGAUGAGAGGGCAGGUUAGCGGACAGGUGAGAGGGUAGAUGAUGAGAGGGCACGUUAGCGGACAGGUGAGAUGACAGGUGAGAGGGUAGAUGAUGAGAGGGCACGUUAGCGGACAGGUGAGAUGACAGGUGAGAGGGUAGAUGAUGAGAGGGCAGGUUAGCGGACAGGCGAGAUGACAGGUGAGAGGGUAGAUGAUGAGAGGGCGGGUUAGCGGACAGGUGAGAUGACAGGUGAGAGGGUAGAUGAUGAGAGGGCGGGUUAGCGGACAGGUGAGAUGACAGGUGAGAGGGUAGAUGAUGAGAGGGCAGGUUAGCGGACAGGUGAGAUGACAGGUGAGAGGGUAGAUGAUGAGAGGGCACGUUAGUGGACAGGUGAGAUGACAGGUGAGAGGGUAGAUGAUGAGAGGGCAGGUUAGCGGACAGGUGAGAUGACAGGUGAGAGGGUAGAUGAUGAGAGGGCACGUUAGCGGACAGGUGAGAUGACAGGUGAGAGGGUAGAUGAUGAGAGGGCAGGUUAGCGGACAGGUGAGAUGACAGGUGAGAGGGUAGAUGAUGAGAGGGCAGGUUAGCGGACAGGUGAGAUGACAGGUGAGAGGGUAGAUGAUGAGAGGGCACGUUAGCGGACAGGUGAGAUGACAGGUGAGAGGGUAGAUGAUGAGAGGGCUGGUUAGCGGACAGGUGAGAUGACAGGUGAGAGGGUAGAUGAUGAGAGGGCUGGUUAGCGGACAGGUGAGAUGACAGGUGAGAGGGUAGAUGAUGAGAGGGCACGUUAGCGGACAGGUGAGAUGACAGGUGAGAGGGUAGAUGAUGAGAGGGCUGGUUAGCGGACAGGUGAGAUGACAGGUGAGAGGGUAGAUGAUGAGAGGGCAGGUUAGCGGACAGGUGAGAUGACAGGUGAGAGGGUAGAUGAUGAGAGGGCACGUUAGCGGACAGGUGAGAGGGUAGAUGAUGAGAGGGCAGGUUAGCGGACAGGUGAGAUGACAGGUGAGAUGGUAGAUGAUGAGAGGGCAGGUUAGCGGACAGGUGAGAUGACAGGUGAGAGGGUAGAUGAUGAGAGGGCGGGUACCAUUAUCUCCUGGGAUUCACAGAGCGGUGUCAUGGGUGUCCAGGUCUCCCCCCGCUCCCACAGCUCUUCCCCCCUCCACCUUCCCCCACUGCCCCCCCUCCCCCGCGCCCCCCCCCCCCCCUCCACCUCGCGUGUCGUCGCUGUGGUCCUAGGAGCGGAGUGCGGGAGACAAAGACGACUCAGAGCGCAGA
Non-coding RNA from Petromyzon marinus (sea lamprey), 3018 nucleotides. The record is from RefSeq and is a predicted model, not a curated record. NCBI's taxonomy places the organism in Eukaryota, Metazoa, Chordata, Hyperoartia, Petromyzontiformes, Petromyzontidae.